RNAcentral lists this small RNA (803 nucleotides) under Pan troglodytes (chimpanzee). RNAcentral describes it as "processed transcript". Lineage: Eukaryota; Metazoa; Chordata; Mammalia; Primates; Hominidae. The record is from RNAcentral.
UGCACUUGGUGACAUACUCUUUGAUGCUGUCCCAAGGCGAUGUGACCAUUCUGACUAGUUGCCAUAUGCAAAGGAGAUUAUACUGUAUCACUGGCUCAGCACCAAGGUGAUCGGAUGUGACAUUUCUGACUAGGCCCAGUCUACAAAUAAGACUAUACUGUAUAAUUGACACAACACCUCGUAGGCUUGCUGACAAACUAUUUGAGGCUAUACCUAGGUGAAGUGACUCCUCUGACUAGACCCAGUAUGCAAAUGAGGUUAUGCUGUAUCACUGAUUCAGCAUCGAGGCCCAGAUCACAGAAGUAAUUGUGCCAUAUGUGGAACAAGCAGCUAAGCAAUAGAUAACAUCCAUCGUGGCUCUGCCUUCAAAGGGAAAUUUUACAUAUGUCACUGGGACCAUCACCCAGGUGAUGUCCUGCCCGCUAAAAGAAUUGUGACAUGAUGCUGAAUGCAAAAUCUAGGUAAUGCAGUUCUCCUCUUUAUUCUAGAUUCUGCCAAAAUGGGGAUUAUUCCAUAUUGCUGAGCCCAGCAUCUAGGUGGUGUAAAAGUUUGACAUACACCUGUGUUCACCUACCAUGCACAAAUAUAACUAUCAUACCUGGCUCCAAAAACGAGACAUAUUUUGAUGCUCCUACCCAGUCUUAUAGCCAUAAGUAAAGUAAUGAGUCUCCUAGUGGUAUAAAGUUCACACAGUAUUAUGACACUCCAGCAUAUCAUAUAAAGUGUGAGAGGCAUACAUAGUGUUAUAACAGGGAACAGCAACCCAAUGCUAUUGGGAUUAUUGGAUUCACACUCAUCAGACA